CCAGACGGCUGGACGGCUGCCUCUUGCUAGGGCGAAAGCUGCAAGGGGAGGAAAGUCCGGGCUCCACGGAAACACGGUGCCGGGUAACCCCCGGCGGGCGCGAGCCUAGGGAAAGUGCCACAGAAAGCAAACCGCCCCCCGAAGCCUUCGGGCGAAGGGGGGUAAGGGUGAAAGGGUGCGGUAAGAGCGCACCGCGUCCUUGGCAACAAGGACGGCACGGUAAACCCCACCGGGAGCAAAACCGAAUAGGAAGGGCCGAUGGCUUCGGGCCAUGGAUGCGUUUCCGCAUCGCCCUUCGGGUAGGUUGCGCGAGGCGGGCGGCGACGUCCGUCCCAGAUGAAUGGCCGUCCAUCGGUGCGUCGCGAGGCGCCCAGGGACAGAACCCGGCUUACAGGCCGUCUGGUCCA
Molecule: RNase P RNA, 407 nt
Filed under: Rhodospirillaceae bacterium
Lineage: Bacteria; Pseudomonadati; Pseudomonadota; Alphaproteobacteria; Rhodospirillales; Rhodospirillaceae
Description: RNase P RNA component class A
Rfam family: Bacterial RNase P class A
About the family: Ribonuclease P (RNase P) is a ubiquitous endoribonuclease, found in archaea, bacteria and eukarya as well as chloroplasts and mitochondria. Its best characterised activity is the generation of mature 5'-ends of tRNAs by cleaving the 5'-leader elements of precursor-tRNAs.
Source: RNAcentral